GGUCCGGUGGCUCAAUUGGUAGGGCGUCUGACUUCGAUUGAUUUCAUCAAGAGAAAUCCUCUGGAUUUUCGGAAUUUUAUCAGAAGAUUGCGGGUUCGAGUCCCGUCUGGAUCG
Molecule: transfer RNA, 114 nt
Filed under: Colletotrichum phormii
Lineage: Eukaryota; Fungi; Ascomycota; Sordariomycetes; Glomerellales; Glomerellaceae
Description: tRNA-Arg
Rfam family: tRNA
About the family: Transfer RNA (tRNA) molecules are approximately 80 nucleotides in length. Their secondary structure includes four short double-helical elements and three loops (D, anti-codon, and T loops). Further hydrogen bonds mediate the characteristic L-shaped molecular structure. tRNAs have two regions of fundamental functional importance: the anti-codon, which is responsible for specific mRNA codon recognition, and the 3' end, to which the tRNAs corresponding amino acid is attached (by aminoacyl-tRNA synthetases). tRNAs cope with the degeneracy of the genetic code in two manners: having more than one tRNA (with a specific anti-codon) for a particular amino acid; and 'wobble' base-pairing, i.e. permitting non-standard base-pairing at the 3rd anti-codon position.
Source: RNAcentral